GACGAACCGUGCGAACGUUGUUCGGAAUCACUGGGCUUAAAGGGCGCGUAGGCGGUUUCUCAAGUCCGGGGUGAAAGCUUUCGGCUUAACCGGAAAGGGCCUUGGAUACUGAGAAGCUGGAGGGAGGUAGGGGCCGUUGGAACUUCCAGUGGAGCGGUGAAAUGCGUUGAUAUUGGAAGGAACUCCGGUGGCGAAAGCGAACGGCUGGAUCUCUUCUGACGCUGAGGCGGCGAAAGCUGAAGGGGAGCAAACGGGG
Molecule: ribosomal RNA, 256 nt
Filed under: uncultured bacterium
Lineage: Bacteria
Description: partial 16S ribosomal RNA
Rfam family: Bacterial small subunit ribosomal RNA
Source: RNAcentral